CCUACGGGAGACUGCAGUGAGGAAUAUUGGUCAAUGGACGAGAGUCUGAACCAGCCAAGUAGCGUGAAGGAUGACUGCCCUAUGGGUUGUAAACUUCUUUUAUAUGGGAAUAAAAUGUUCCACGUGUGGGAUUUUGUAUGUACCAUAUGAAUAAGGAUCGGCUAACUCCGUGCCAGCAGCCGCGGUAAUACGGAGGAUCCGAGCGUUAUCCGGAUUUAUUGGGUUUAAAGGGAGCGUAGGUGGAUUGUUAAGUCAGUUGUGAAAGUUUGCGGCUCAACCGUAAAAUUGCAGUUGAAACUGGCAGUCUUGAGUACAGUAGAGGUGGGCGGAAUUCGUGGUGUAGCGGUGAAAUGCUUAGAUAUCACGAAGAACUCCGAUUGCGAAGGCAGUUCACUGGACUGCAACUGACACUGAGGCUCGAAAGUGUGGGUAUCAAACAGGAUUAGAAACCCCUGUAGUC
This 460-nucleotide ribosomal RNA is filed under the name uncultured bacterium. RNAcentral describes it as "partial 16S ribosomal RNA". It matches the Rfam family "Bacterial small subunit ribosomal RNA", at positions 338 to 795 of the family's 1533-position model. The record is from RNAcentral.